CUUAGUGGCGGACGGGUGAGUAACGCGUGGGUAACCUGCCUUAUACAGGGGGAUAACACUUAGAAAUAGGUGCUAAUACCGCAUAAGCGCACGGGGCUGCAUGGCCCAGUGUGAAAAACUCCGGUGGUAUAAGAUGGACCCGCGUCUGAUUAGCUUGUUGGCGGGGUGACGGCCCACCAAGGCGACGAUCAGUAGCCGGCCUGAGAGGGUGGACGGCCACAUUGGGACUGAGACACGGCCCAAACUCCUACGGAAGGCAGCAG
Molecule: ribosomal RNA, 263 nt
Filed under: uncultured bacterium
Lineage: Bacteria
Description: partial 16S ribosomal RNA
Rfam family: Bacterial small subunit ribosomal RNA
Source: RNAcentral